RNAcentral lists this small RNA (2838 nucleotides) under Histoplasma capsulatum. RNAcentral's name for it is "hypothetical RNA". The record is from RNAcentral. RNAcentral also lists the same sequence under 1 other name. Lineage: Eukaryota; Fungi; Ascomycota; Eurotiomycetes; Onygenales; Ajellomycetaceae.
GCUGAGGGGCAAACCACGAAGAAUUGAAGGCAUUUGUUAUGACUUUUUUAUGCCCUGACAUUGCAAUCUGGUCUCAAACUUUUAUAAAUAUCCCCUAUAUCAGUUAUGGCAUAUUCCCCUUGUCGCAAGCUCUUAAAACCUGAAAAAUAUUCGAUAUUUAACUGACCAACCCUAGCUUAGAUGCAAGUCGGAGCGUAUAGCCUUCAUCAAGAGAUAUGUCGCAUCUCACCGAGCCUAGCAUUAAUUUACAACUAACCGCACAACUCGCUGGAGGUAUGGAGCAAAUACUGGACGCGAAAUCCCAAUCCCACGGUGAAAAUUAUCAUCUGCGCCUCUGUUGAGUAAAGGUCUGCAAUCUUCCCAUGUUCAUGGGUUGCAGCUCUGUGAAAGAUGGCGAACAACCACAUCUAAACAAUGGCUUGUGCUCCAUUAAUCGUUACAUGUCCCUCUAUUGUCCUAUUUCAUGGUAUCCCCGAAGUCUAGAAUAGAGGAAAGUGAUGCAAAUGCACGAAUGGGCCCAACCACUCAACCACCAUAUAUUCAAAUUUGAAUCAUUGGCGAAGCCAAAUAUCGGCCCUCGGAUGAAAAUAUUGCGAAUACCACAAUGUAUUGUACAAGUCUCAACCAGGUCAGACAUCCUCAGCCAACUUUAGAGGGCGCCAGAGAAUUGGAAGGCUCUAGCAGGCUUCGAUCGCAGCCUUGACAUCUGUCGCUAUCCUGUUGAAUUUCCUAGUCGGGAAAAGUCGUCAUGCUACAUGAGCCCAGCAAGUAUGAGGCAAACAGAUUCUCUGCAGCCCAUGGCUACCUUCGUUUAGCGUCUCCUGUCCGCCCAGUUUUCUGCAAGAGGACCCGACUUCGGACUAGCGAACUCUCACAGAGGACCCAAAAUGUCUCUUAUUCCAUAGCUCUGUCUGUUGUUGCAUUUCUUCAUGCUUAUGACUUCCACUGUCGAUUUCACUAGCAGAGCUGUUUUCAUGAGCCAGUGAUUUUCUGAGUGAGGACUUCUUGCAAAAUCCAGAGUACCCUACAUGCUUUGAAGCAUGUAUCUGGUUUCUUCUGUUGAGCAGAAGCUCACCCGGCUUUUUAAGGUUCGCAACCUGAGGGAUAUCGAGUCAUCAACACUGUCUGCAAAUAAAUAAUAAAUAAAAAGGUUAGCGAUUGUUGAUUGUUAUUAGACAACAGAAUGAGCUGUCAUUGCUGUCCUGUUCCUACUCCUAAGAAAAAGUGAUAUCAAGGGAAAGACCGAGAAAAGCCAAUCAGUGAGAGGAACAGAAGUAUGAGAUUGGAAAGGAAAAGCCAAGUGUAUAGCGUGACAUUGCGUAAAAGAAAACCCUAUGAAGUCUGAGCAUUCUCACAUUUCUUUCAAGCUGAUUACCUGACAAUCAUUCACAAAACACCAACUCACUCAUAGUACAAGUUUCCUUUUGAACAGAGACUUUAUAUUGAGCAACGUUCUUGCAUUUCAUUGAAGAUUGAAGCUGCAAGGAAAAUAACUUGAACACUGUCAAGGGUGUGGAGGUACUUGAGUCAUAUCUCAAUGGACUCUCUGUCAGCCUGAACCUCAAUUCCCGAGACAUCUAGCCCAUAUGAUGAAACGGAAGGUAUUUUUUGAUCUUCUAUUCUUUCACUAAGAAAAGUGUGUAUAUCUAAAAAUACAACAUGUAAAUGAGCUAAUUCAUGAUCAUACAAAACAUGUCUUAACAAGAUAUGAUAUGAUAUAUACCAAAGGCCAAGCCUUGCGACCAAAAACCAUAAAACGCAGAGCAGAGCAGCACAAUGAACCUUUUAAAGGAAAACGGGCAAUGAUAAAGGAUAAUUUAAAAGCAAAAGCCAAAUUUGAUCCACAAAAAGAAAAAGAAAACGAAAAGAAAAAAGAAGAAAAAAGGUAACAGAGGCAGUCCGCAACACGAACCUGAUUGAAAACAGAAUCUAUUUGGACUCUAUAUGUCGAUGCAAACUAAACGUCUCAGUAGCAUCAGCCGUCCCAUCCCCAUCCCCAUCAUCAAAAACAUCAGAAUCAUUAUCCGUAAAAUCAUCAUGAUAUCCGAUCGGAUCAAUGGCAACGUGGUCAUCAUCAAUGUCCGCGUCCAGAUCAUAACCGUGCGCAACACCAUCGCGUCGGAAGCCAAUGCGAGAUUCCUCGUCAAGCGCCUGGGCAGCCGCGGUUUCUUCCGAAUCAUCUGAGAAGAUACCUGGCGAUUGGGGCUGGUGCGCAUCAUUGGCCACGAGUCGUCGGGUAUUAUUGUUAGCGCGCUCUUCGGCUUCGAGCUCCUUGGAGCGCGCGAGGGUACUAUUUGGAAGUUCGUUUAAUAUGCGUGUUGUUUAAUUUACCGUGGAGAUGGAUAUGAUGUGAAUUUUUUCGGUGUAAAAAUUGGAACGUCACAAAUUAAAAGCAAUUAAAAAAAUAAAAAUAAAAAUGGAGGCAGAAUUAGGGCGGUGUUAUUAACUAGGGAUAUGAAGCCGAGUGUGUGGAUUUUACAUACUUUCUAUAUAUAUACCACCCAGUAAAGAUACCUACAACCAUGCUGACCAAGAUGCUGAUAAUGUUGAUGGCUUUCGAGCCAGCGCUCAUCGUCUCGCCGUUUUGCGCUAGAAUGCGCAGUCUGCUGCCGAUGAAGGUCGGGACCAACAGUUUUGGAGAUAUGAUAGUAGUAGCAAGGCCGUACAUGAGGGGAUGCACUGUGGGGAAAGUCGAUAUGGCCCCAUUACAUAUUGAAUAUGGCAAUGGGCAAAGUCUGAUCAUACAAAGUAAUUUUAAGCCAUCGUAUUUUAGAGUCAGUGCGAGGGCAGCAAAGCGUUUAUCAUGUUCCAUUAAUCGAUGGACGAAGGACGAGAGGA